This 465-nucleotide ribosomal RNA is filed under the name uncultured bacterium. RNAcentral describes it as "bacterial SSU rRNA". It matches the Rfam family "Bacterial small subunit ribosomal RNA", at positions 32 to 507 of the family's 1533-position model. The record is from RNAcentral.
AACGCUGGCGGCGUGCCUGACACAUGCAAGUCGGACGGUUCUUGCACCUUCAAGCUUGCUUGUUGGUUCAAGGAUAGUGGCGGACGGGUGAGUAACGCGUGAACACCUACCCAUUGGAGGGGUACAACCCGUCGAAAGGCGGGCUAAUACCGCGUAAGCCGUGAGGUGAAAGGCUGCUCUUUGGUGGCUGCCGAUGGAUGGGUUCGCGUCCUAUCAGCUGGUUGGUGGGGUAACGGCCUACCAAGGCUAAGACGGGUAGCCGGUCUGAGAGGAUGGCCGGCCACACUGGAACUGAGACACGGUCCAGACUCCUACGGGAGGCAGCAGUGGGGAAUCUUGGGCAAUGGGGGAGACCCUGACCCAGCGACGCCGCGUGAGGGAUGAAGGUUUUCGGAUCGUAAACCUCUGUUGUACGGGAAGAAGGAUGUGACGGUACCGUACGAGUAAGCCCCGGCAAACUACGUG